RNAcentral lists this long non-coding RNA (2038 nucleotides) under Homo sapiens (human). Its description in RNAcentral is "HSALNT0114286". The record is from RNAcentral. Lineage: Eukaryota; Metazoa; Chordata; Mammalia; Primates; Hominidae.
UGACAGGGCCUCACUCUGUCACUCAGGCUGGAGUGAAGUGGUGCAAUCACAGUUCACUGAAACCUUGAACUCCUGGGUACAAGGAAUCCUCCUGUCUGGAACUACAGGCACAAGAUGAUUUUUCACCUAGUGGAGUCAUUGAACAGUGGUCUUCAAAUUGGGAUUAUUUCCAAGAAUAGAUUAAAAUGCCAUGAAAAAGAAAAAAUUAUAGAAAAGCAAAAAGAGCUGAAUGCAGUGAAUGAACAUCUGUGAAUGAAGUUGAGAAGGUAUAUGUGGGGCAGACUAGAAUUGCAGUGCACAGAUACAAGAAUGUUGCCUGCUUUGGAGCCAAGACUGCCUUCCGGAUAAAGGGCCCACAGAGAGCUGAGAGCUGUGUAAUACCUCAAAGACUGAAGAAAAGAGUUAGACAGCCAUCUUUCCUUAGAGGAUUUUGCUGCAGACAGCUUGAACUACCAGAAGGUUAUAUACUGACCAUGGGUAGAGUAAGGAAGAAAUACAUCCUUCGGAAAGGACAAUGAAGAUCUUUACAGCAGGGAGGUGAGGACAAAGUGAUUCUCCCUUCUGGAGGAUGCAGCAAAGUGCUGCCUGCCAUCUUGGAAGCACAGAGUAGCCUUCACCACACUCUAAUCCCAUCAGAGCCUUGAUCUUGGACUUGCCAGCCUUCAGAACAGUCUUGCCUCAUCACUGCCAUGACAGGGGGGUCCAAUGUGAGGAUUCUGGUGUCUAUGCCAAGCAUCUCUUUUCCAACGUAGAUCUGAUUUCUUAACAUAGCCAACAGCAAGUCAACAUCAGCUUUGCAGAGAAAAGCAGGGAUGCGUGUGCACAAAGAAAAGGCCAUGUGAGGACAUAGCAAGAGGGAAGCUGUCCGCAAGCCAAGGAAAAAGGCCUCAGGAGAAACCAAAUCUGCCAAUACAUUGAUCUUGGACUUCCAGCAUUCAGAAAUGUGAGAAAAUAAAUAUCUGCUGUUUAAGCCACCAGUAUAUUAUAUUUGUUAUGGUAGCCUUAGCAAAGUAAGAUAGUUUGUGUUACUGCCUUCUUUUUGCAGAUAAAGCAAUUAUAUCUGAUAGGUAUUAUGUAACCAUAUUAGUCCCAUAGACAGUUGUUUUUGGAUAAACAUAGAAAUUGACCCUUCUGUUGUUAAAGCUUCAAACUUGUAUUUGCUUUAUCUGAGUUCCUUCCUCAGGAAAGGAUAUUCAGUUCUCUCAAAAAAGUAUCGAAGAACUGAAAUUCACUAGAUCACCAUACCAGAUAACUCCUUGCCCCUCCCUAGUUCCUGAUUUCUUAAACAUUGUUACAUUUCUUCCCUGCUGUAUAAAACCCUAGUUUUAAUCAGUCAGAGAGAUGAAUUUGAGACUGAACUCCCAUCUCCUUGCUGCGGCACCCGAUUAAAGCCUUCUCCCUUGGCAAUAUUUGUCUUCUCAGUGAUUGGCUUUCUGUGCAGCAAGCAGCAGGACCUAGACCAAACCCCUGGUAUUGUGGUAACAAACAACACACAUGCACACACAUAUACAUGCAAAUGACUGAUAAAAGAGAUAAAAGAAAGGAAAAGGAAAGCAGAAGGAGGAAGAUCAUCCAUGAAUCCAUUGAGAAUAGACACUGAUGAUCUAUUUGGUUUCUUUCUUUACCUAAUUCUUUAUCAUUAUAGCUUUUGUAUAUAAUGCUAGCUUUCUACCACAUCAUGUUAGGUUAUUUACCCAUUAUGUGAUCUUUCUUUUAAAUGUUUCUAUUUCUUUUCAUUAAAUGAAAUAAUUGUUAAAGGGGUGACUUCAAUUAACUUCUAGGCCUUCUAUAUAGUGUUGCAAAGGCCCAUAUUCUACAUCUAGGUUAAAUUUUCCUGUCUUUUGUUAUUUAAUUAUCUAGCAUAUGAGCAACAAAUAGGGAUCUGAAAGUGACUAUCUGUGUUGGGUUAUCCUUGGAAAAAUAACAUGACAAACAAAGGUAGAUUAGCCCACUGGUAACAAAAUUCAAAUGAGACAACUAUCCUGUUCCCCAAAUCAAAUAUUUCUCAAAAGCAAUCAAUGAUUAAUUAAAAGUAGUG